Molecule: ribosomal RNA, 929 nt
Filed under: uncultured bacterium
Lineage: Bacteria
Description: bacterial SSU rRNA
Rfam family: Bacterial small subunit ribosomal RNA
Source: RNAcentral
AGUCGAGGGAGANUGUUGGAUCCGUCUGACAUGAAACCGGCGCACGGGUGCGUANCANGUAUGCAACCUACCUUUAACUGGGGUAUAGCUCAGAGAAAUCUGAAUUAAUCCCCCAUAAGACUACGACAUGGCAUCAUGAUGUAGUUAAAGCUCCGGCGGUUAAGGAUGGGCAUGCGGUACAUUAGUUAGUUGGUGAGGUAACGGCUCACCAAGGCUACGAUGUAUAGGGGGUCUGAGAGGAUGAUCCCCCACACUGGUACUGAGACACGGACCAGACUCCUACGGGAGGCAGCAGUAGGGAAUAUUGGUCAAUGGACGCAAGUCUGAACCAGCCAUGCCGCGUGAAGGAUGAAGGCCCUAUGGGUCGUAAACUUCUUUUAUUAGGGAAGAAAAAAUGGGAUGCGUCCUAUACUGACGGUACUUAAUGAAUAAGGAUCGGCUAACUUCGUGCCAGCAGCCGCGGUAAGACGAAGGAUCCAAGCGUUGUCCGGAUUUACUGGGUUUAAAGGGUGCGUAGGCGGAAAAUUAAGUCAGUGGUGAAAGCCCGCAGCUCAACUGUGGAACUGCCAUUGAAACUGGUUUUCUUGAAUAUAGCUGAGGCAGAUGGAAUAUAACAUGUAGCGGUGAAAUGCUUAGAUAUGUUAUAGAACACCGAUUGCGAAGGCAGUCUGCUAAACUAUUAUUGUCGCUGAGGCACGAAAGCGUGGGGAGCGAACAGGAUUAGAUACCCUGGUAGUCCACGCCCUAAACGUUGAUUACUCGCUGUUGGCGAUAUACUGUCAGUGGCUAAGCGAAAGCAUUAAGUAAUCCACCUGGGAAGUACGACCGCAAGGUUGAAACUCAAAGGAAUUGACGGGGGCCCGCACAAGCGGAGNAGCAUGUGGUUUAAUUCGAUGAUACGCGAGNAACCUUACNUGGGCUUAAAUGUC